GUGGAUUAGAUACCCUAGUAGUCCACGCCGUAAACGUUGGGCACUAGGUGUGGGUCUCAACCAACGGGAUCUGUGCCGUAGCUAACGCAUUAAGUGCCCCGCCUGGGGAGUACGGCCGCAAGGCUAAAACUCAAAGGAAUUGACGGGGGCCCGCACAAGCGGCGGAGCAUGUUGCUUAAUUCGAGGCAACGCGAAGAACCUUACCUGGGUUUGACAUGUAGGGAAAAGCCGUAGAGAUACGGUGUCCUUCGGGGCCCUACACAGGUGGUGCACGGUCGUCGCCAACU
This 287-nucleotide ribosomal RNA is filed under the name uncultured bacterium. RNAcentral's name for it is "partial 16S ribosomal RNA". It matches the Rfam family "Bacterial small subunit ribosomal RNA", at positions 773 to 1060 of the family's 1533-position model. The record is from RNAcentral.